UACGGAGGGUGCAAGCGUUAUCCGGAAUUACUGGGUUUAAAGGGUGCGUAGUCGGCGUUGUAAGUCAGGAGUGAAAGUUUGCGGCUCAACCGUAAAAUUGCUUUUGAUACUGCAAUGCUAGAAUCAGGAUGAGGUUAGCGGAAUGUGGCAUGUAGCGGUGAAAUGCAUAGAUAUGCCAUAGAACACCAAUUGCGAAGGCAGCUGGCUAGACCUGAAUUGACGCUGAGGCACGAAAGCGUGGGGAGCGAACAGG
This 253-nucleotide ribosomal RNA is filed under the name uncultured bacterium. RNAcentral's name for it is "partial 16S ribosomal RNA". It matches the Rfam family "Bacterial small subunit ribosomal RNA", at positions 524 to 776 of the family's 1533-position model. The record is from RNAcentral.